This 1391-nucleotide ribosomal RNA is filed under the name uncultured Sebacina. RNAcentral describes it as "eukaryotic LSU rRNA". The stretch from base 856 to 1391 matches the Rfam family "Eukaryotic large subunit ribosomal RNA", at positions 1 to 538 of the family's 3401-position model. Lineage: Eukaryota; Fungi; Basidiomycota; Agaricomycetes; Sebacinales; Sebacinaceae. The record is from RNAcentral.
AUCUUGUGAAACUUUGUCGUGCUGGGGAUAGAGCAUUGCAAUUAUUGCUCUUCAACGAGGAAUGCCUAGUAAGCGCAAGUCAUCAGCUUGCGUUGAUUACGUCCCUGCCCUUUGUACACACCGCCCGUCGCUACUACCGAUUGAAUGGCUUAGUGAGGUCUUCGGAUCGGCUUUGAGGACCCGGCAACGGGAUCUCGUUGCUGAGAAGUCGAUCAAACUUGGUCAUUUAGAGGAAGUAAAAGUCGUAACAAGGUUUCCGUAGGUGAACCUGCGGAAGGAUCAUUAGUGAAUCUUCAAAAGUCGGCUCUGUGGAUUGUGCUGGUGGAGACACAUGUGCACGUCCGCAAGGUCGCAAACCCCACACACCUGUGCAUCUAUGACUCUGAGUGCCGCUUUGCAUGGCCUUGACCGGCCUGGCGCUCGAGUACUUUCACACACUCUUGAAUGUAACGGAAUGUCUUGUUGUGCAUAACGUACAAACAGAAACAACUUUCAACAACGGAUCUCUUGGCUCUCGCAUCGAUGAAGAACGCAGCGAAAUGCGAUAAGUAAUGUGAAUUGCAGAAUUCAGUGAAUCAUCGAAUCUUUGAACGCACCUUGCACCCUUUGGUAUUCCGAAGGGUACGCCCGUUUGAGUGUCAUUGUAAUCUCACYACCAUUGACUUUGGUCUUUUGGUAUGUGGACUUGGAUGUUGCCGUCGAUGUCUACGGCUCGUCUGAAAUGCUUCAGUGUACCCCGCUUUGCGGCGUAUUCGGUGUGAUACAUCUUCACCGGAGUUGAUCCUUUUUGGGGGUCGCGUCUGUAAUGUGUGGCUCUAUGCUUCCAACCGUCUCUCGAGACAAUCUCUGACAAUUUGACCUCAAAUCGGGUGGGACUACCCGCUGAACUUAAGCAUAUCAAUAAGCGGAGGAAAAGAAACUAACAAGGAUUCCCCUAGUAACGGCGAGUGAAGAGGGAAAAGCUCAAAUUUUGAAUCUGGUGUCUUUGACUCCCGAGUUGUAAUCUAGAGAAGUGUUUUCCGUGUCGGACCGUGCACAAGUUCCCUGGAACGGGGCGUCAUAGAGGGUGAGAAUCCCGUAUAUGGCACGGACUGCCGAUGCUUUUGUGAUACACUCUCAACGAGUCGAGUUGUUUGGGAAUGCAGCUCAAAAUGGGUGGUAAAUUCCAUCUAAAGCUAAAUAUUGGCGAGAGACCGAUAGCGAACAAGUACCGUGAGGGAAAGAUGAAAAGCACUUUGGAAAGAGAGUGAAACAGUACGUGAAAUUGUUGAAAGGGAAGCGUUUGAAGUCAGUCGUAUCUGGCGGGAUUCAGCUGGGCUUUUGCCCGGUGUACUUCUCGUCCGAUGGGUCAGCAUCAAUUUCGACCGGGGGAAAAAGAUGUGGGGAAUGUG